GACGUAGGGGGCCAGCGUUGUUCGGAAUUACUGGGUGUAAAGGGUUCGUAGGCGGUGCGGCAAGUUGGGAGUGAAAUCUCUGGGCUUAACCCAGAGGCUGCUUCCAAAACUGCUGUGCUUGAGUGUGGGAGAGGCGCGUGGAAUUGCAGGUGUAGCGGUGAAAUGCGUAGAUAUCGGAAGGAACAUCAGUGGCGAAAGCGGCUUCCUGGACCAGUACCGACGUUCAGGCACGAAAGCGUGGGGAGCAAACAGG
RNAcentral lists this ribosomal RNA (253 nucleotides) under uncultured bacterium. RNAcentral describes it as "partial 16S ribosomal RNA". It matches the Rfam family "Bacterial small subunit ribosomal RNA", at positions 524 to 776 of the family's 1533-position model. The record is from RNAcentral.